CCCUUAGAUGUUCUGGGCCGCACGCGCGCUACACUGUUCGACGCAGCGAGUCUUAACCUUGACCGAAAGGUUUGGGUAAUCUUCAGCAAAGUCGAACGUGAUGGGGAUCGAUCAUUGCAAUUAUUGAUCGUGAACGAGGAAUUCCUAGUAAGUGCAAGUCAUCAGCUUGCGCUGAUUACGUCCCUGCCCUUUGUACACACCGCCCGUCGCUACUACCGAUUGAAUGGUUUAGUGAGAUCUCUGGAUUGACGCUGGCUAGGGGGCGACCCUUGGCCAGGCUGUCGAGAAACUGCUCAAACUUGAUCAUUUAGAGGAAGUAAAAGUCGUAACAA
Molecule: ribosomal RNA, 332 nt
Filed under: uncultured eukaryote
Lineage: Eukaryota
Description: partial 18S ribosomal RNA
Rfam family: Eukaryotic small subunit ribosomal RNA
Source: RNAcentral